GAAGCCGUUCUAGCUCAGUUGGUAGAGCGCGUGGCUUUUAACCACGUGGUCGUGGGUUCGAGUCCCAC
Molecule: transfer RNA, 68 nt
Filed under: Helianthus annuus (common sunflower)
Lineage: Eukaryota; Viridiplantae; Streptophyta; Magnoliopsida; Asterales; Asteraceae
Description: tRNA-Lys
Rfam family: tRNA
About the family: Transfer RNA (tRNA) molecules are approximately 80 nucleotides in length. Their secondary structure includes four short double-helical elements and three loops (D, anti-codon, and T loops).
Source: RNAcentral